AAUAGGUAAGAGGCAAAGAAAGGGUCUUGUUUUAUUUUUUGCUCCCUCGUUGACCCCAGUUUGGCAGAGGCUGGCCAGAAAAAGCAGCACACCCCUCCCUGGCAAACACAGGAGAGACUUGCGCGCCUCCAGCUCCAUCCUUGAUUCACAGCAACAAUACGCAUGGGCGAGACGUGGGAGAGAUGAUGGAGCUGUGAGCAGGGUCCGGUCCACGGACUGUCACCGUUCGCGCUUGAGACUGGACCCGAAACUGGUUCACUGCUUUUUCUCCAAGCUCAGCCAUGAAAUACAACCCCUGCUCCCGUAAGUUCUGUCCAAGCACACCGGUUUCCAUCAACGAUAUUGCCCAUGAUGUUCGAUUUUGACAUUACUUCCCUCGAUUGCCCGUUUACCCCCAAGUCAAGUCUGAGACAGGCAUGAAGUGUAAAAGAGGUGGGUCGUGUCAUAUCCGCUCAGUGUGCAUGGGAUUGUUGUUGCACGGCUGUGAUCAUUGUUCAGGAGAACAAUUCAACACAGAGAGCACGAGCAGUCAGGAAGGCUGCACAAAAUAAGAAAGAAAAAGUGGAAGAAAAGUUGCAGUUACAGAGGCUCGUUAUUCACUGCUCCAAUGGCAAAGCAGGUUUAUCAUACUGUAGUCAGAAGAUGUGUCUUAGAUGUAGAUUUGUUUUUGAUAUCAUCCAAACUGUCAUUGAAAUUGUUAAAUCAACUUUUAUAUCUACUUUUCUAGACUUGCUGAAGAGAUUUUGUCAAACUAAUCUCAGGGUAACUAACUCUUCCGCCUACACAUGGAGAUGAAUAUUUAUCCAGGCUUCAAAAACAUUGUUCUCUUGACAUUGCCAGUGUCAAAUCUUAUAAAAUAUAGCGAAGACAGUUAGAAUAUAUUAAAGUUCUAUCUUUAAUAUGUAUAUUUAUUAUCUACAUCCAAUUUUAGCAUUUUUAUACAUUUAAAAUAUUGCUUAUAAAUUCUGAUAUGUUCAUAAACAUAUAGACGUUUUUUUAGUUGUUUUUUUUACCAUUCACUAAAUUCUCCUUUACGUUUGAAAUUAUUGCGAUUUCUCCACUGAAGAAUGUGCAUUUGAUUCUUCAACCCCUCCAUGUCGUUGUUUUGCGGUAUAGCGCAGUAUGGUUAAUACAAAGCUCUGCGCUCCGUGGAUUAUUGCUUUCAACAUCUGGUAUACACAGUGGUUGCUUGGCAACAGAUUGAUGCCACUAGUGCAUGUAUAUUUAGAAAAUCUCAGGUGUGUCUUUAUGGAGCUCACCACAGUGGCUCCGACUCAGUAGCCAACCAGAGGUGAGGACCGGAACUAAUCGUCCAAUAACUGGAUAUUAGUUUACAGGAUAAUACCAGAGGGAUAUGGCGGCCGAGGAGCCGGUUACUCACGGGUGAGCAGUGCCCGUCCAAUCUGAUUUGUGUCACACAUCUGCGUUUAGCUUGCCAGAUCAAUAGCGGACGUCUGGGUGAGAGGGAGAAAGAGAAAGGGUGAGGGUGGAUUGCACUGCUGUUCAGGCUCAAGGGCACGAAAGGAAAAGGUGCAACAGGUCAACAGCAGUUUGAACCAUACAGCAGGUCCCCACAAAAUCAAGUGCUGUGAGGAAAUUAUGUCUACAGGCAGCAGUUUGUGAGCUGUCUGUGGUAUUGGACAUAGCUUUAAAAAUAGCAAUUAGCAGCAUGGAUAGGCCUAUAGGCCAUUCUUUUAGAGCCUAUUAGAUCCUAUAGAUUAUAGAUUUUGAGGCACAGUAUUAUUAUUAUAACACUUUAAGUCUGUUUCGUCCAUAACCAGUUUAUAAACAUAACAAAUAAUUAAUUUAAAUGUUAUAAGUAGAUUUAGUGAGGUAUUUAUUGAUGUGUCUAUCAACAACUUUACUAUCAUCUGGUGUAAAAAACAAAAUGAAUUACGAUCUAGUGCAACUAGAUAUCAUGUAUAUGUCAAAUUAUUAUAUAUACUGUAUAUUUUUUUAAUUUUGACAAAUACUGUAGCCUAUUAAUAAACACUAAAUAAACAGUUGUAUCAGUGUCCGACUACUUGCUUACAUUAUACUGCUUGAAAAUGUUGCAAUACGUUAUAAACAUAUUUUUAUAAUAAUAAUAAUAAUAAUAAUAAUUAUUAUUAUUAUUAUUAUUAUAGGGUGGUAUUUCAAAUCAUUUUGCCCUGAAUCCACAGAUACUGCAUCGUCCCUCAUUACGAUUUGUGUUUUGUUGCCUCUGAGAUUCCAACAGCUUUUUUUAUAAUCACUGCGGAUACUUGUAAAAUCACUAUGUGGAAAUAAUACAUUUUAAGUCUUAAAAAAUGUGUACACCAAAGGACCAAACGACAUAAAUGUGUCUGUUAUGUCUGUAAUAACUCACAACUUCACUCUCAUUCGUGAAAAUACCCAAAGAAAUAUUUUUAAUUUGAUCCACACCAUUGAGCCUAAAAAGAGUACAAAAGCCCGUCAGUGUUUUGUUUCUUAAAUUUCUCCUGACCUGUUUUUGCAAACCAGACCACUAAAUGAGUAUUUUGGGUUUAACAUAUCCUGCAGCCCAAAUCAUCGCGUCUUCUUGAUGUGUGGGGUAUUUUGCCUCAACACGCUGCUGAUUGGCUUAUACAGUAUCUGUAGUUUGUAUCAAGUUAGAUACGCUCACCACGUACACCCUCUGUCUGUUAUUGAAACCAUAAUGUUUUCAUACGCAUGGGGCUCAUACGCACUCUGCUGAAACCAUUGAAGCCAGCAUGUAUCCUGCCAUCCCUUCUGUGCAGCCUUCACACGCACACCACCGACACAGUUACCAUAACUAUUGUAAUAUUGUGAAGGUACUAAAACUACCCGAUCGAACUUGGCCUGUCCGUACUGCUAUAUAUGACACAUUGAGAUUUUCAGCUUUAUUUUUGAAAAUGCUCAUUCAUUAUUCAGGUUCAGCUCUAUUAGUUUCUGCAAGACAGAUGUCAGAGCGUGAUGGAGAUGUUUAUGUUUGACUGAUUUAAGAAGCCAUUAUCCUGCCCGCUUAUCAAACAUUCAUGUGCGGCAGCUGUAGCUGUGGAUCUGCCCUCCGUCGUGUCUCCUGUCGCACUUCAUCUCUCCUCUUAAACAACCACGACCUGUCCACUCAGUUAACCUGUUGUUUUAACAUCUAGGAGACAGCUUAAUCACUUCCGAGGGGGGGGAAGGGUAUUCAUUUAAAAUAUAUGUAUACAACCCGCCUGUAUGGAGAACCAAAAUAGUGACUUUAAUGUGCUAUAUUGUCACUGUACACAGAUUGUAGUGGCGGGGUUAAAGUUGAGCAAUGCAGGACCAAUGUAAGACCUUUCCCUGCCUAUAUUGAUUUACCCGACACAAUCAGUGAUAAAGACACGUUUUUUUAAGAUCAUAACAAGGUCCUGAAAUGUAUACAGUAAUCAAGUCUAUUGUAAGCCAUUAAAAGCAGCACAGCCCUCAGCUAAUGUGUUGUAAUGGCCACAGAGGCUACUCCUGAGGGAGUUUUUAACAGUUGAGAAAUACUGAGUACACGCGAGUCUUUUUAUAAUACCACAGUAACAGCCUACCCAAUAACAGGUAAUGUUCUGCGGUGUGGUUGGUUGCUGUUGUGUUAUCCCAAAAUAUAGAAUUAUUAAAGAAUUAUUAAUUGUUAAAGCUCAGUACUUUUCCAGAUUAUUUCUCAUUUGUGAAUUGUAUCUAUUUUGUUCUGAUUUCUCAUCGGCUGCGAACCCUUUUAAUCUUUAGUCUGGAGAUGGGGGAGAGCAAAUGUAACUUUUCCGGUUUAAUGUUGAACAACUCGGAAGAAUUUGUUUUUACAGACUAAAAAAAUCCGUUUGCUGCAAAAUACUAAUGUCUCUACCAUUUGACUGCACAAAGCAUCCAGCGUCCAUGCCUUUUCGUAAAUGCCCUGUGAACGUGGUGGUUUUCAUCCUUUUGACCCCUCCAUGAACAGCGCACCGCCUCCCUCGCUGCGCCCCUCCACCCCUUCCAAGCAGCCAUACAAUGCGGCGUGUGCGUGUGCGCGCUGCGGUAUGUGGGCUACGAUGUCGUGCAGAGGUAAUGGGAAGUAGUCGGAAGGUAAGGUCGCGGGUUCACGGCGGGGUUACAGAGACCCAACUAUGGCCCAUGUUUGUGUAUUUUUUUGGGUGUGCUUUUUUUUCUUCACAACUCCGCUUCCUUCCUAGAGGAGGAUGUGUCCAGUGUGUGCCACCGUGCUCAACCCAAACCAACCGUGUCACCGCACAGCCCGUGUUUGUUUUUCUGAGUUUAUUAAAUCUUCCCCCGACAGGAAAACGACCAAUAUCAUCACGUCACAUGGGUGUUGGUGAGUUUAGCACUUUGCAUCCCCCCUGGCUCCCUGUGAAAUCGUUUGUGUUUGUACAUGUGAAGUCUGGCGUCUAUUUAUAUCCUCACACAGGCUCACUGUCCAACGAGCCUGCAGUUUGUUUCGGACUAUUCCAAGCCGUUUUAUCUUCAAACAACAUCGUGUCAUUAUUUCCAAUUCAAAGCAAUUCAUACAUUUUUGGCAUUUUUCAAUCUAAAACAAAAUCAUCUAAAAUCAGGCAACUGAUUUAAUAUUCAUAAACCCUAUAGAGCAACUUUUUUGGCACCUUUAAGCCCUUGAUCUAAUUAACGGGUUUUUUUUCUCCUUUGUUUAAUCGCUUGAUUGUAAAUGUGUUUUUUCUAUCAGAGAAUAGAGAGAAGUCAAUGAACAUCCCCAUGAUUAACAGCAUUCCAAUUCUUCCCCUUUUCAUCAAGUCUUUGAUGAAUCCACAAUAUUCAACCAUUUAUGAGCAGCAUUAGAGUGAUGCAAGUUGGGAAAUAGAUACUACUGGGGGGUUUUAAGUAGAGAUUAAAAUUAUCUCAUUAUGAUAACUACAGGUCAGGUGGGUCAUCCACCAUUUGAAUUGUCGCUGCAUUAUUGUUCAGGCGUUUAACCAUUUCUGGGCUUCUCUCUUUUCUCUAAUGGAAUAAGAAUGACUGCUUUUUGAAGUUAUUUCUCUAUCAUGUAACGUAGAUUAUUCCUUUGAGAUUAAGCCAAGUGAAAUACAAAUAAUUACAGGAUUGUUAUAUAAUUUGAAAAGAAUCUAUUUUAGGCAUAUAACAUUAGUCAUAUUACACCUUUUUACAGCUUGAAUGAGCUUUGCAUAUUAUGUCUUAAAAUAGAAACACUAUUGUUCUAUAGAUGAGAUGAAUAUGUACAAUUCCACAAAGUAUUUGAUUUAACUGCAAUAAUAUUUUCUAUUACAGAAUUGUUAAACAUGAAAUAAAUGUAUAGUAAAACUUAUUUUAAAAUCAAUUUGGUGUCUCUUUUACUUUUAAACACAUUAAAUGAUACAUGGUUCGAUUCAAUUCAGAUUGUGUGA
This is a long non-coding RNA of Scophthalmus maximus (turbot), 5321 nucleotides long. RefSeq lists it as uncharacterized. NCBI's taxonomy places the organism in Eukaryota, Metazoa, Chordata, Actinopteri, Pleuronectiformes, Scophthalmidae. The record is from RefSeq and is a predicted model, not a curated record. The transcript has 3 exons.